RNAcentral lists this ribosomal RNA (253 nucleotides) under uncultured bacterium. Its description in RNAcentral is "partial 16S ribosomal RNA". It matches the Rfam family "Bacterial small subunit ribosomal RNA", at positions 524 to 776 of the family's 1533-position model. The record is from RNAcentral.
UACAGAGGGGGCAAGCGUUGUUCGGAAUUACUGGGCGUAAAGGGCGCGUAGGCGGCCUUCUAAGUCGAACGUGAAAUCCCCGGGCUCAACCCGGGAACUGCGUCCGAUACUGGAAGGCUUGAAUUCGGGAGAGGGAUGUGGAAUUCCAGGUGUAGCGGUGAAAUGCGCAGAUAUCAGGAGGAACACCGGUGGCGAAGGCGGGUCUCUGGGCCGAUACUGACGCUGAGGAGCGAAAGCGUGGGGAGCGAACAGG